GUGAGUUGUCUGUUACAAAUGCACCGGAUCCCAUCAGAACUCCGAAGUUAAGCGUGCUUGGGCGAGAGCAGUACUAGGAUGGGUGACCCCCUGGGAAGUCCUCGUGUUGCACCU
Molecule: ribosomal RNA, 114 nt
Filed under: Zingiber officinale
Lineage: Eukaryota; Viridiplantae; Streptophyta; Magnoliopsida; Zingiberales; Zingiberaceae
Source: RNAcentral